This 246-nucleotide long non-coding RNA is filed under the name Jatropha curcas. RNAcentral describes it as "long non-coding RNA (JCUR_LNC001702)". The record is from RNAcentral. Lineage: Eukaryota; Viridiplantae; Streptophyta; Magnoliopsida; Malpighiales; Euphorbiaceae.
UAAUUGUGUUGUGAUAUUGUUGUGCUUUGCUUGUGUGGAAUUGGGAUGAAGUGGGUCACCAUGGGUUUGUGAGGACGGUCGAUAAAGCUUGGAUCCUGAUUAUGAUGAAUUGUGAAACUGGACCGUCGGCCGGGUAAAUGGGAGAUCGGCGCCCCCGUGUGCACCUACUGUUACCGUUACUAUUAACCACAGGUUGGCUUCUUUAUUUGGGCGUACCGGAUAAUCUAGGUUUGAUCGCAGCCCGCA